This 121-nucleotide non-coding RNA is filed under the name unclassified sequences. The record is from Rfam.
AGGCAAUGAUACACCAUUGUGUUCCGGCACGCACCGUGGUGAAGAGCCUCUGGAGGAGUUGUGCGUGUGAACCUCAAACCGGAUAGGUGCUAAGCGAGCACCGAACGAAAACAUGCUUUGG